RNAcentral lists this ribosomal RNA (385 nucleotides) under uncultured bacterium. RNAcentral describes it as "bacterial SSU rRNA". It matches the Rfam family "Bacterial small subunit ribosomal RNA", at positions 29 to 417 of the family's 1533-position model. The record is from RNAcentral.
AUUGAACGCUGGCGGAAUGCUUUACACAUGCAAGUCGAACGGCAGCACGGGGCAACCUGGUGGCGAGUGGCGAACGGGUGAGUAAUACAUCGGAACGUGCCCAAUCGUGGGGGAUAACGUAGCGAAAGCUACGCUAAUACCGCAUACGAUCUACGGAUGAAAGCGGGGGAUCGCAAGACCUCGCGCGAAUGGAGCGGCCGAUGGCAGAUUAGGUAGUUGGUGGGGUAAAGGCUCACCAAGCCUGCGAUCUGUAGCUGGUCUGAGAGGACGACCAGCCACACUGGAACUGAGACACGGUCCAGACUCCUACGGGAGGCAGCAGUGGGGAAUUUUGGACAAUGGGCGCAAGCCUGAUCCAGCCAUGCCGCGUGAGUGAAGAAGGCCU